Betta splendens (Siamese fighting fish) is the source of this 2071-nucleotide long non-coding RNA. RefSeq lists it as uncharacterized. NCBI's taxonomy places the organism in Eukaryota, Metazoa, Chordata, Actinopteri, Anabantiformes, Osphronemidae. The record is from RefSeq and is a predicted model, not a curated record. The transcript has 2 exons.
UCCAGGAUGAAGACGUCCUCGGCUCCAGACCACAUUCACGACGCCCCAGUAGUUUACGGCCGUUGUGUUGGGCCCUGCCAUAUGUGGAUAAUGGCCUGGGUUUGAAAACACAACAGAAGCAAACACGCAGCACGGUGUUCACCAAACACACAAACCAGAGUUUGCCUUUGGAGGUGGGCUGCGUUUCACACAUUCCACUUGGCUCUCGCUGCUCUGGAAGUGGCUCAGACAAAUUUCUGGAAUCACUGAGGUUGCGAUAGCUGAGGUGUAAUUAUGUAUGUGGUUCUUUGUCAAAUCACCAAACUGAGCAUUCCUGCACAGUAUUUCUUUAUGGGUAAACCACGUACACAUUUAUGUUCCUUGAAAUACUUUGUUACUUUUGGUGGACACAUCAAAGCUUCAGAUGUCGGAGCGGGAGAUGAAUCCCUUCGACAACGCGUCCCCGUCACAGCAGCCUCUGAUGGGUCAAUGCAAACGCACACGUUCCCUGUGCAGAUCAAAGCGCAUAGCGCCCGCUGCGUGUGUGGAGACAGACAGUAAUUAACUGGGAACAUCCCAGUGGGACCAGUAGGGACUGACUCUGUCAGUCAAAGCCAGUCUGCUGCAACCGCUGGAAUGUCUGCAGGAGUGUGUGGGCGCACGAGCGAAAGCGAGGGUGUGUUUGUUUUUGACUUGUGACUAAAUAUUUGUUUUCAAUUAAAGGUUCAUAAUCGUGUAUGAGCAGACUGAUUGUCUGUUCAACACCUCCGUUAGCGCUCAAUUCAGGGCCGCCAGCUAAUGGGAGCUGCAGGGGUUAACAGAUCAGAAAGCGCUGUGUUCAUGAAAGCAUGGAGCGUCCAGCAGAUGAGACGCUGAUGAGAUUAAAAUGACAGGGGACGGCCCACGGGUCGGGGCUCGAGGAGCUUCUCCUGUUUCCAGCUGCCUCUCUUCAUGUGGCUCCUCCUCUGCAGACGCCAUAAAUAACCGCAGUCCACAGAGACGACGCAGGAGAGAAACAAAGUGUGAAGGCAGAUGGAGGAAGGAGCGCUGAUAAGACCAGCGCUGAUGUCACCCCAAAUAAAACAAGUCAGAGAGAUGUGGAAAGUGUCUGAGCUCAUUUUGCCAUAACUCACUGGACGCAGCGUGGGUUCUGCUUCACAGCAUCUCACUGGUGUUGGUUGUGUGACUGAUGCUUUUCAGCUUCGCUGGUGUCCGUCCUCAGAGGAAGUAUGUGAUGAACACCUUCUAAAUGUGGACUCUGGCCUGUGAAGCUGGACUCCGGCUUCAAAGCCAAGUUUCACGUUGUCUCAAUGACUUCUCUAAGGUAAUACUGAAAAGCCUGUGAUUGUGAUUUCAUCAAAUGGAUCCUCAACCAUUGGCCCAACUCGCUUCAUCACAAACGCGUCACACGUUUAGUGCUUUAAAGCUGAGAAGAGCUGUGACGGCAGGGUUUGUGUCUGGAGGCCUUCACCUCCCGCUGCAGGCUGCACAGGCCAGCGCCAGCCCUUAUCUGGGCGACAGCAGGCUUUCAUGCUUCACGGAGCAGAAAACAGCACCUCUGCGGACGGAAUGGCGGAUGGGCGGAAGCUGAGCCCGGCUGGUACCGUACAGCCCAGGCCCCACAGCUGAACGUAAUGCUAGAGUUAGCUCUGCAGGUAGGACCCGGACGGAAAUGGACCAUGUCUCCAUCUCCUCAGCUCAACAUUUGACCUGCUGCCGCUUAGAAAACAAACACCAACAGCAUAAAUAAUGAAAACGCUUGUAAAUGAGCUGUGUGACGUGGAGGAGCUAAGAACGUGUUCACACGCGGAUUUGGGGCUGGAAGUAACAGAAUUCUUGAGAUGACACGUGGAGGAGAAGGGGACAGAGGUGACACCGACCUUUGACCUCUAAGGUCUGAGGGUUUUCAGGUGUUACAGGAGUGUGUGUGAGGGCGGACCCGUCACAGUGAUCUCAGGCGGAGGAAUAAGCAGCCGUGCGGUGUGUGAUCCAUCCGUCUCCCUGGUCUCCUCACACACUAGCACACUGCUGCCUUUGUUCCCUUUGUGCCUGAGCAAAUACACACACACACACACACACACACACACACACA